RNAcentral lists this unclassified non-coding RNA (222 nucleotides) under Hevea brasiliensis (rubber tree). Lineage: Eukaryota; Viridiplantae; Streptophyta; Magnoliopsida; Malpighiales; Euphorbiaceae. The record is from RNAcentral.
AAAAAUAAAAAUUUAAAAUUUAAACUAACUAUAAAGUUGAUGUAUGACUAUAAUAAACUUAUUUAAGUUGAGGGAUAGUGAAUGAAACUUAACCAUAAGUUAACCUGAAAACUUGCAAUAGCAGGUCACAAAAAUUUUAGUGAUACCCAAAUUUAAGUUCAAGGAUUUUUAUAAUACAAAUUGAAAUUAAGGGACAAUGCUGAUACAAUUACCUAAAUUGAG